RNAcentral lists this ribosomal RNA (427 nucleotides) under uncultured bacterium. Its description in RNAcentral is "partial 16S ribosomal RNA". It matches the Rfam family "Bacterial small subunit ribosomal RNA", at positions 338 to 795 of the family's 1533-position model. The record is from RNAcentral.
CCUACGGGAGGCAGCAGUAGGGAAUAUUGGGCAAUGGGCGCGAGCCUGACCCAGCCAUGCCGCGUGCCGGAUGAAGGCCUUCUGGUCGUAAACGGCUUUUUUCCGGGAAGCGGUACCGGGAGAAUAAGCACCGGCUAACUCCGUGCCAGCAGCCGCGGUAAUACGGAGGGUGCGAGCGUUGUCCGGAUUUAUUGGGUUUAAAGGGUGCGUAGGCGGCCGCGUAAGUCUGGGGUGAAAGCCCGUUGCUCAACAACGGAACUGCCCUGGAAACUGCGCGGCUUGAGUCCAGACGAGGUGGAAUGGGCGGUGUAGCGGUGAAAUGCAUAGAUACCGUCCAGAACCCCGAUUGCGAAGGCAGCUGACUAGCUGUACUGACGCUGAGGCACGAAAGCGUGGGGAGCGAACAGGAUUAGAUACCCUUGUAGUC